RNAcentral lists this ribosomal RNA (1318 nucleotides) under Staphylococcus aureus. RNAcentral's name for it is "bacterial SSU rRNA". It matches the Rfam family "Bacterial small subunit ribosomal RNA", at positions 225 to 1533 of the family's 1533-position model. The record is from RNAcentral. Lineage: Bacteria; Bacillati; Bacillota; Bacilli; Caryophanales; Staphylococcaceae.
AUGGAUCCGCGCUGCAUUAGCUAGUUGGUAAGGUAACGGCUUACCAAGGCAACGAUGCAUAGCCGACCUGAGAGGGUGAUCGGCCACACUGGAACUGAGACACGGUCCAGACUCCUACGGGAGGCAGCAGUAGGGAAUCUUCCGCAAUGGGCGAAAGCCUGACGGAGCAACGCCGCGUGAGUGAUGAAGGUCUUCGGAUCGUAAAACUCUGUUAUUAGGGAAGAACAUAUGUGUAAGUAACUGUGCACAUCUUGACGGUACCUAAUCAGAAAGCCACGGCUAACUACGUGCCAGCAGCCGCGGUAAUACGUAGGUGGCAAGCGUUAUCCGGAAUUAUUGGGCGUAAAGCGCGCGUAGGCGGUUUUUUAAGUCUGAUGUGAAAGCCCACGGCUCAACCGUGGAGGGUCAUUGGAAACUGGAAAACUUGAGUGCAGAAGAGGAAAGUGGAAUUCCAUGUGUAGCGGUGAAAUGCGCAGAGAUAUGGAGGAACACCAGUGGCGAAGGCGACUUUCUGGUCUGUAACUGACGCUGAUGUGCGAAAGCGUGGGGAUCAAACAGGAUUAGAUACCCUGGUAGUCCACGCCGUAAACGAUGAGUGCUAAGUGUUAGGGGGUUUCCGCCCCUUAGUGCUGCAGCUAACGCAUUAAGCACUCCGCCUGGGGAGUACGACCGCAAGGUUGAAACUCAAAGGAAUUGACGGGGACCCGCACAAGCGGUGGAGCAUGUGGUUUAAUUCGAAGCAACGCGAAGAACCUUACCAAAUCUUGACAUCCUUUGACAACUCUAGAGAUAGAGCCUUCCCCUUCGGGGGACAAAGUGACAGGUGGUGCAUGGUUGUCGUCAGCUCGUGUCGUGAGAUGUUGGGUUAAGUCCCGCAACGAGCGCAACCCUUAAGCUUAGUUGCCAUCAUUAAGUUGGGCACUCUAAGUUGACUGCCGGUGACAAACCGGAGGAAGGUGGGGAUGACGUCAAAUCAUCAUGCCCCUUAUGAUUUGGGCUACACACGUGCUACAAUGGACAAUACAAAGGGCAGCGAAACCGCGAGGUCAAGCAAAUCCCAUAAAGUUGUUCUCAGUUCGGAUUGUAGUCUGCAACUCGACUACAUGAAGCUGGAAUCGCUAGUAAUCGUAGAUCAGCAUGCUACGGUGAAUACGUUCCCGGGUCUUGUACACACCGCCCGUCACACCACGAGAGUUUGUAACACCCGAAGCCGGUGGAGUAACCUUUUAGGAGCUAGCCGUCGAAGGUGGGACAAAUGAUUGGGGUGAAGUCGUAACAAGGUAGCCGUAUCGGAAGGUGCGGCUGGAUCACCUCCUUU